This 430-nucleotide ribosomal RNA is filed under the name uncultured bacterium. RNAcentral's name for it is "bacterial SSU rRNA". It matches the Rfam family "Bacterial small subunit ribosomal RNA", at positions 76 to 502 of the family's 1533-position model. The record is from RNAcentral.
GAGCUUGCUCCGGCUGACGAGUGGCGCACGGGUGCGUAACGCGUAUACAAUCUACCUUUUACAGGGGUAUAGCCUUUAGAAAUGAAGAAUAAUCCCCCAUAAUAUCUUAUUAGUGGCAUCAUUAAAAGAUUAAAGCUUCGGUGGUAAGAGAUGAGUAUGCGUUCUAUUAGCUAGUAGGUGAGGUAACGGCUCACCUAGGCGACGAUAGAUAGGGGCCCUGAGAGGGGGAUCCCCCUCACUGGUACUGAGACACGGAUCAGACUCCUACGGGAGGCAGCAGUGAGGAAUAUUGGACAAUGGGCGCAAGCCUGAUCCAGCUUUGCCGCGUGCAGGAAGACUGCCCUAUGGGUUGUAAACUGCUUUUAUAUAGGAAGAAACCAUUCUACGUGUAGAGUGCUGACGGUACUAUAAGAAUAAUCAUCGGCUAACU